AGAAAUAUAGCUCAGUGGCACGAGUGUCUGCCUGGCAAGCACAAGGUCCUGAAUUCAAUUUCCAGUAACUA
This 71-nucleotide transfer RNA is filed under the name Cavia porcellus (domestic guinea pig). It matches the Rfam family "tRNA". From Rfam's summary of the family: Transfer RNA (tRNA) molecules are approximately 80 nucleotides in length. The record is from Rfam by way of RNAcentral. Lineage: Eukaryota; Metazoa; Chordata; Mammalia; Rodentia; Caviidae.